This 437-nucleotide ribosomal RNA is filed under the name uncultured Pseudoflavonifractor sp. RNAcentral describes it as "partial 16S ribosomal RNA". It matches the Rfam family "Bacterial small subunit ribosomal RNA", at positions 341 to 792 of the family's 1533-position model. Lineage: Bacteria; Bacillati; Bacillota; Clostridia; Eubacteriales; Oscillospiraceae. The record is from RNAcentral.
ACGGAAGGCAGCAGUGGGGAAUAUUGGGCAAUGGGCGAAAGCCUGACCCAGCAACGCCGCGUGAAGGAAGAAGGCCUUCGGGUUGUAAACUUCUUUUAUCAGGGACGAAGAAUGUGACGGUACCUGAUGAAUAAGCCACGGCUAACUACGUGCCAGCAGCCGCGGUAAUACGUAGGUUGCAAGCGUUGUCCGGAUUUACUGGGUUUAAAGGGUGCGUAGGCUGUGCGACAAGUCAGGGGUGAAAGCCCGCCGCCCAACGGUGGAACUGCCUUUGAUACUGUCGCGCUGGAAUACGGAUGCCGUGGGAGGAAUGAGUAGUGUAGCGGUGAAAUGCAUAGAUAUUACUCAGAACACCGAUUGCGAAGGCAUCUCACGAAUCCGUCAUUGACGCUGAGGCACGAAAGCGUGGGGAUCAAACAGGAUUAGAUACCCUGGUA